GACGAACGCUGGCGGCGUGCCUAAUACAUGCAAGUAGAACGCUGAGGCGAGGAGCUUGCUCUUCUUGGAUGAGUUGCGGACGGGUGAGUAACGCGUGGGUAACCUGCCUUUUAGCGGGGGAUAACUACUGGAAACGGUAGCUAAUACCGCAUAAUAUAUGAUGCCACAUGUUUUUAUAUUAAAAGACGGAUUUGCUGUACCAUAAAGAUGACCUGCGUUGGCUUUGCUAAUAUGUGAAGUAAUCGCCAACCUAAGGGACGAUACAUAGGCCGCCUUAGAGGGUGAUCGGCCACACUGGGACUGAGACACCGCCCAGACUCCCACGGGAAGCCACAGUAGGGGAACUUCGGCAAAUGGGGCAACCCUGACCGAGGAACGCCGCGGGAGGGAAGAAGGUUUUUGGAUCGGAAAGCCCUGUUGUAAGUCAAGAAAGGGUGUGGGAGUGGAAUGUUCACACUGUGACGGUAGCUAACCAGAAAGCGACGGCUAACUACGUG
Molecule: ribosomal RNA, 497 nt
Filed under: uncultured bacterium
Lineage: Bacteria
Description: partial 16S ribosomal RNA
Rfam family: Bacterial small subunit ribosomal RNA
Source: RNAcentral